GUGGGGAAUCUUGCGCAAUGGGCGAGAGCCUGACGCAGCCAUGCCGCGUGAAUGAUGAAGGUCUUAGGAUUGUAAAAUUCUUUCACCGGGGACGAUAAUGACGGUACCCGGAGAAGAAGCUCCGGCUAACUUCGUGCCAGCAGCCGCGGUAAUACGAAGGGGGCUAGCGUUGCUCGGAAUUACUGGGCGUAAAGGGCGCGUAGGCGGACAGCUUAGUCAGAGGUGAAAGCCCAGGGCUCAACCUUGGAAUUGCCUUUGAUACUGGCUGUCUUGAGUUUGGGAGAGGUGAGUGGAACUCCGAGUGUAGAGGUGAAAUUCGUAGAUAUUCGGAAGAACACCAGUGGCGAAGGCGACUCACUGGCCCAAUACUGACGCUGAGGCGCGAAAGCGUGGGGAGCAAACAGGAUUAGAUACCCUGGUAGUCC
Molecule: ribosomal RNA, 425 nt
Filed under: uncultured bacterium
Lineage: Bacteria
Description: partial 16S ribosomal RNA
Rfam family: Bacterial small subunit ribosomal RNA
Source: RNAcentral